AGAUAUAGUAAAAUACAAGUGAAAAUAUGCAUCAGGAAAAGAACAUUAUCAUUUCUCUUAGAUGAAAUUCUCUUAGAGAAAUGAAGGGCAGAUGUGGUACUACCUGAGCAGGGGAAUGAGGCUGGUAAAGCCUGCUAUUGAGGGGCAAAAUUAACUGUGAAAAGCCAAACCAGGUACACAGAAAAACACACACUGAUUGUCUCUCAUUCUUUCUCUCUCUUACUCCUUCUGCUCACAUCCCCCAUCUGGCUGCAUAUAGCGUUGGCUUCCCUCCAGCUGCAGCAGAAGGCAGCAGGGAUGUGAGACUCCUGAACCUGCCUGCACCUCCUGCAACAUGGACAUAGCCAUAGAUGACAACAACCAUUGCAUUUUUCCAGCCUGAAGACUGUUAUUGACUCUUGCGUACCUACAGCCAAGUAGCAGAGCCUUGAUUCAUAAAAGUGGUGGAGA
Long non-coding RNA from Gallus gallus (chicken), 450 nucleotides. Lineage: Eukaryota; Metazoa; Chordata; Aves; Galliformes; Phasianidae. The record is from Ensembl.